GAUGAACGCUGGCGGCGUGCCUAAUACAUGCCAGUCGAGCGAACGGACGAGAAGCUUGCUUCUCUGAUGUUAGCGGCGGACGGGUGAGUAACACGUGGAUAACCUACCUAUAAGACUGGGAUAACUUCGGGAAACCGGAGCUAAUACCGGAUAAUAUUUUGAACCGCAUGGUUCAAAAGUGAAAGACGGUCUUGCUGUCACUUAUAGAUGGAUCCGCGCUGCAUUAGCUAGUUGGUAAGGUAACGGCUUACCAAGGCAACGAUGCAUAGCCGACCUGAGAGGGUGAUCGGCCACACUGGAACUGAGACACGGUCCAGACUCCUACGGGAGGCAGCAGUAGGGAAUCUUCCGCAAUGGGCGAAAGCCUGACGGAGCAACGCCGCGUGAGUGAUGAAGGUCUUCGGAUCGUAAAACUCUGUUAUUAGGGAAGAACAUAUGUGUAAGUAACUGUGCACACCUUGACGGUACCUAAUCAGAAAGCCACGGCUAACUACGUG
RNAcentral lists this ribosomal RNA (497 nucleotides) under uncultured bacterium. Its description in RNAcentral is "partial 16S ribosomal RNA". It matches the Rfam family "Bacterial small subunit ribosomal RNA", at positions 28 to 507 of the family's 1533-position model. The record is from RNAcentral.